This 1348-nucleotide long non-coding RNA is filed under the name Mus spretus (western wild mouse). Its description in RNAcentral is "predicted gene, 16794 (ENSMSPG00010004245.1)". The record is from RNAcentral. Lineage: Eukaryota; Metazoa; Chordata; Mammalia; Rodentia; Muridae.
GAUUUGCGCAUUAGGUGAGCUCAGUUGAUUGAGGUGUGGACUUGCGGGUGGUAUGAGAACGUUUAAGAGACAGUUGGUUAGCUUUAUGUUAACUUGAAACAUGGCAGAGUCGUUAGAAAGAGAAACCUCAACUGAGAAAAACGCUGCUUCCAAAUUGGCCUGUGGGAAUAUUUUGAUUACUGAUCAAUGCGGGAGGGCCCAUCUGAAUGUGUGCUGCUGCCACCCCUGGGCCGGUGGUCUUUCGGUAUGUGAAAAAGGCUGAGUGAACUAGCCAGAAAGCAACAUUCCUUCAGAGCUUCUUCAGUUCCUGCCUCAAGUUCCUUUGAUGAUGGGCUGUGAUGUGGAAGUCUGAAUCUAUGGACUUUUUCAUCUUCCUGUGAUAGCUGAUAGCAACCCAAAGAAGAUAGGUCAUCGAAACCAAAAUUACCUUCUAAUCUUCCUCCAGAAUUAUAAAAGGAGAAAAAUUUUGAUGUCCUUAAAGAUGGAUCCAUUAGCCUUAAUUUACUCUCAAGGACCCACUCUGGUACUAUUUGUUGUAGCUGUUAUUUAGUUGCUAGGACUUGAAAUCAGGACCUAGAACAUAUAGGGACAUCUGUUGGAACAUACUUCUUCAGGACUCUAGCUUAUACAGAAAAGCUGAAUCUCCUAGCCUCACAGGACUGAGCAACUACUAGACUCUUGGACUUCUCAUUCACAGCUGCCUAUUGGGUUGGUUGGACUGGAGACUUAAGUCAUUACAAUAAAUUCCCUUAAUAUAUACAUUCCCUAAGUUCUGUGACUUUAGAGAAUCCUGACUAAUUCAUGAAAAAGGAUUUGAUACUACAAAUGACCUGUUUCUUACCAUACUUUUGCCUUAAUUUUUUCUUUUUAAAAAUUUGGGACAUGAUAUCAUUUGCAGCCAUGACUGACACUGAACUCAUGUUCCUCCUGUCUUGGACUUCCUGAGUGCUGGGAUCACAGGCAAGCAUCACCAUAAUAAUUGCCUAUGAUGUUUGCUAGUUUGUAAUAUUCUAUUUCCUCAAUCUUGCAUUAUUCAUUCCAAUUUUACUACAAUAAAGACCUUUUCCUACUUUUUUUGAAAGGAUUUGAUUAUAUAAGUAUGAAGGUACAUUUGUUUUAUUUCAUGGGUUAUAAUUCAUUAUGACCAACAUCAUUUUUCUAAGAUUAUCCAAAGCUAGGACAGCUUUCUAAUUUUCUGACAGAAAACUAACUUUUGUUAUUCAUAGAAUAUUUGCUUCUUUGUUAUAGACGGAUGAAGUAAUUUCAUAAUCGCUAACAAAUAUUUCAGAAAAGUAAAUGUUCAGAUUUUUUUUUUUUCUGGUAAGCUACCUCAAAAGUUUUUUGCGCC